GGCUCCAUAGUGUAGCGAUUAGCACAUCUGCUUUACAUGCAGAAGGUCUUGGAUUCACACCUCAGUGGAGUCA
This is a non-coding RNA of Pteropus alecto (black flying fox), 73 nucleotides long. NCBI's taxonomy places the organism in Eukaryota, Metazoa, Chordata, Mammalia, Chiroptera, Pteropodidae. The record is from Rfam.